AACGCACAUUGCGCCCCGUGGUAUUCCGCGGGGCAUGCCUGUUCGAGCGUCAUUUCACCACUCGAGUCUGACUCGGUAUUGGGCGCCGCGGUCCGCUGCGCGCCUCAAAGUCCCCGGCUGGGUGGGCCCGUCCCCGAGCGUUGUGGUUUCACAGUCUCGCUAGGGAGCACGCGUCCGCCGCCACGGCCGUUAAACACCCCCAUCACAGGUUGACCUCGGAUCAGGUAGGGAUACCCGCUGAACUUAA
This 247-nucleotide unclassified non-coding RNA is filed under the name uncultured fungus. RNAcentral describes it as "partial contains 5.8S ribosomal RNA, internal transcribed spacer 2, and large subunit ribosomal RNA". The stretch from base 1 to 52 matches the Rfam family "5.8S ribosomal RNA", at positions 103 to 154 of the family's 154-position model. The record is from RNAcentral. Lineage: Eukaryota; Fungi.